GACAGAGGGGGCAAGCGUUGCUCGGAAUUACUGGGCGUAAAGCGCACGUAGGCGGCUUUGUAAGUUAGAGGUGAAAGCCUGGAGCUCAACUCCAGAACUGCCUUUAAAAACUGCAUCGCUUGAAUCCAGGAGAGGUGAGUGGAAUUCCGAGUGUAGAGGUGAAAUUCGUAGAUAUUCGGAAGAACACCAGUGGCGAAGGCGGCUCACUGGACUGGUAUUGACGCUGAUGUGCGAAAGCGUGGGGAGCAAACAGG
Molecule: ribosomal RNA, 254 nt
Filed under: uncultured bacterium
Lineage: Bacteria
Description: partial 16S ribosomal RNA
Rfam family: Bacterial small subunit ribosomal RNA
Source: RNAcentral